AUACGUAGGUGGCGAGCGUUAUCCGGAUUUACUGGGUGUAAAGGGCGUGUAGGCGGGUGUUCAAGUCGGAUGUGAAAAGGCAAGGCUCAACUUUGCUCUGUCAUCCGAAACUGGAUAUCUUGAGUGUCUGAGGGGAAAGCGGAAUUCCUGGUGGAGCGGUAAAAUGCGUAGAGAUCAGGAGGAACACCGGCGGCGAAGGCGGCUUUCUGGCAGACAACUGACGCUGAGGCGCGAAAGCGUGGGGAGCAAACAGGAUUAGAUACCCUGUUAGUCCACGCCGUAAACGAUGAAUACUAGGUGUAGGGGGUAUCGACUCCCUCUGUGCCGCAGCUAACGCAUUAAGUAUUCCACCUGGGGAGUACGUUCGCAAGAAUGAAACUCAAAUGAAUUGACGGGG
Molecule: ribosomal RNA, 397 nt
Filed under: uncultured bacterium
Lineage: Bacteria
Description: partial 16S ribosomal RNA
Rfam family: Bacterial small subunit ribosomal RNA
Source: RNAcentral